Molecule: long non-coding RNA, 1351 nt
Organism: Puma concolor (puma)
Lineage: Eukaryota; Metazoa; Chordata; Mammalia; Carnivora; Felidae
Source: RefSeq, a predicted model, not a curated record
CCCUCAGGCCUCGCAGCCCAUCUCAAGGUCAAAGUGAAAUGUCGUGGGUCAAAGAGAAAGAAAAAGAAACUGCACAGAGAAGGGCAAUGAGCGAUUAGAUCCGUGCCUCACAGGAAUCACUGGGCCAGAGUGGAGCUGCGGUCGGCUCCUGUGUGCUUUUCUGUGCUUUUCAAAUGAUGACAGUGAACCCAUGUUGCAUAAGGGAAAUGUUCAAACUACGGAAAAGUGCAGAGAAUCGUACGACGACCCCACUGCCUGGUACCAGCCUCAUCAAUCAGCAACACGGAAUCCCUUCAGUGUGAGGGGGUUUAAGAAUCCCUAAUUUCAGCAGGACAUGUGGCAGCCCAGAAUGAAGAUUACACUUCCCUGCUUUCUUCCCGAAUCCUAGCCAUGCUGGCCCAUGUGAUGAAUUAAAGAUGGCUACUGAUUCUUUGGUCCUUCUUCCUUCAAGAGGAAGAGUUUGUUUGGACUUCCUCUCCUCUUAAAUCUGGGCUGGCCUGUGACUUAUUGGACCAACAGAAUACAGUGGAAAUGAUGCUCUGCCAAUUCCGGACUUUGGCCCUUAAGGAAACUGGCAGAUUCUGCCAUGGUCUCUUGGAUCCAUGGCUGCCAAGGAAAAGGUCCAACCACUCUGCUGGAGACCCCCCUGGAGAAGCCCUAAGACCUCACGGAAAGGAAUUAGGGACCCGGCUGAGCUCAGCACUGCGGUCUUCCCAAACCAUCUUGGUCCUCCAGAUGAAACCAAUCAUCAGCUGGACGCGGCCAAGUGACUAGUCAACGCCCAUGGAUAAGAAGGACCGCCCAGCUGAGCCCUGGCCGAAUUUCAUACCCGCAAAACUGUAGAAAAUAAUCAACAUGAUUAUUGUUUGGGGAGUGUCUGUUGGGUACCAAUACAUAACCAGAACAGACCAUGAGAUAGAAGGUAUUUGUUGAGGAUGCUGUAACAAUUACACCAUCUGGAGGUCUGGCCGCCUCCGGAUAUUUUGUCCUACAUGAAAAGUAGACUCUGUUUGUUUAAGCUUUGAUGAUACCUUGGGUCGUGGCUCAUGGCCUCAGUUUCCCCACAAUUAUUCAUUGGAGCAUUAACGCCUGCCCUGUUACCUCCUUUUGCAUGUAAUACAAACAGUGCGUAUCCAAAAAGACCAUGGGGCGUGCCCAAGUCGUUAUGAUACAUUUCAUGUGUCCGUAAUCGGAUAUGAACUUGUCGGGGGGCCAACUGCAAUGGGUUUUGGAAUCAGAUAUGUUGGGACUGGAGGCUCAACUCUGCUACUUUCUAAUGUGAAAAAAUCGGACCAGCCACUGAAUCUCUCUGAGCUUUGUUUCCUCAUCAAUAAAAAACAGACGAUGCCUA